GUGGCUGCUGGGCUGGCGGGGCGCAGGCCGCGGGACCCGAGCCCGGGGGAGCGAGAGAGCGGAGGCGCCGAGGAUCCGAUUCAUUCGCUGGGGAGACCUAUGGGCCGAAGCCGUGUAGAUGCGUUUUAAGGCGAGUGCGGAAAGUGGCCUGGGGAGCCUCGGGGAGCGGACGCCCUCCGCCCUGGUGCUGACCUGCCCCCCUGCCCCUUCUGCCUCCUGUCAGCAGGGGCCUCGGCUCCGCAACUGCCACUCCUCCUCGGGGUGUUGCACAAGUUUCGAGGUCACCGGCGACCCCCCCUAGCAGCGCUCCUGGCUCUGGCCCCCGCGAAGGAGGACGGAGUUUGUGUGUUGCAUACUUUCUAAGGCGGCGGCUGCAGCAGCGGCUCCAUCCAGCCCGUCAGCUCCUCCUGCAAGGCAUGGCUGGCUACCUGAGUGAAUCGGACUUUGUGAUGGUGGAGGAGGGCUUCAGUACCCGAGACCUGCUGAAGGAACUCACUCUGGGGGCCUCACAGGCCACCACGUCAUUCCUUGCUUCUCAUCAGUGUUGCCUUUCCUGAUCGCCCCAGGCAGAUUUUGUAUUUUCUUUCUCCAUGCCCCCGCAUUGCACCUUGUAGAAACUGCCAUCUAACAUCUGCUGAAUGGACUUGACGAGGUAGCUGCCUUCUUCGUGGCUGACCUGGGUGCCAUAGUGAGGAAGCACUUUUGCUUUCUGAAGUGCCUGCCACGAGUCCAGCCCUUUUACACUGUCAAGUGCAACAGCAGCCCAGGUGUGCUAAAGGUUCUGGCCCAGCUGGGGCUGGGCUUUAGCUGUGCCAACAAGGCAGAGAUGGAGUUGGUCCAGCAUAUUGGAAUCCCUGCCAGUAAGAUCAUCUGCGCCAACCCCUGUAAGCAAAUUGCACAGAUCAAAUAUGCUGCCAAGCAUGGGAUCCAGCUGCUGAGCUUUGACAAUGAGAUGGAGCUGGCAAAGGUGGUAAAGAGCCACCCCAGUGCCAAGAUGGUUCUGUGCAUUGCUACUGAUGACUCCCACUCCCUGAGCUGCCUGAGCCUAAAGUUUGGAGUGUCACUGAAAUCCUGCAGACACCUGCUUGAAAAUGCGAAGAAGAACCAUGCGGAGGUGGUGGGUGUGAG
RNAcentral lists this small RNA (1128 nucleotides) under Pan troglodytes (chimpanzee). RNAcentral's name for it is "processed transcript". The record is from RNAcentral. Lineage: Eukaryota; Metazoa; Chordata; Mammalia; Primates; Hominidae.